CUACUAAUAAUAUAAUAAUAAUAAUAAUAAUAAUAAUAAUAAUGAAUAGUAGUAAUAAUUAUUGUCGUCAUUAUCAUUAUCGUUAUCAUUAUCAUCAUCGUCAUCAUCAUUGUCAUUAUUAUCACAGAGAUAUUCGUUUAAAGUGAAAGGGGUUAGUUCUGACGAAGAGAACAAAAUAUAAGCGAUGUCUCUUGUGAUCAGAGAAAAGAAGCACGAUAAGAUUAGAAUAUUAUUAUUUCGAAGGCGAAUGAAUCAAAUCCUUUUUAAAAAAAAGUUUAUUUUUUUUUUUUUUUUUUAAUCGAAAUGUUAAAUACGAACCAACAAAUUAAUAUACUUUUACUUCGAUCAUAGUUCAUAAUCGUAAAACGUAUCCAGGCUCGUAAAAAUAUCACCGAAAUUUUGUGAGUGACUAUUUUUUAUUUGCUCUCUUUCUCUCUCUCUUUCUCUCUCUCUCUCGUUCUAUUUUUCUUCGUCCUUCUCUUCUUCUUUUUCUUUGGCUUUUUUUUUUUUUUUACAACUUAGAAAGCUCAGCAGAGAUUGUUGCGGCCGAAUAGAACGAACAUGGCUAGGAUUCCUCAAAGACAAAGACAAAGACAUUUCGACUUUGUUAACUUUGUCCGAGCAACAACUUUUAAUGGAUUUACGCUGAGACGAUUUCCUUUUGAGCUUAUCGAUUAGACAAAAGGAAAGAGAAAGAGAGAAAGAGAGAGAGAGAGAGAGAGAGAGAAGUAAUAGAGAUCAUAAUCGAUAAUCCAAAAAAAAAAAAAAGAAAUUCAAAACCCGUGUCUUCCCAAAAGAUACAGAAUUUCGAUAAUGGAGAAUGCAAUAAUAAGAAAAGAUUCGUUCACUAUUUUCUAAUAAGAUAGAAGAAAAUUUUUAGAUCCUCUUUGACAUAUUAAAUCGGAAAAAAUAUCUUAUAAAAUUCUUUGUGAUUUAACAUUAUUUGCUUUUAAUCGAAUAAAAGAACUUCAAUGAGAUCUUUUGCGCUCGUUGGUAUACGUUUUAUACUAGUCGAAGUAAAAGACGGCAAAUGAAAUGAAAAGAAAACGAAAAGGGAGAAAAAAAUACAAGGGGGAAGAAGAGAGAGAGAGAGAGAGAGAGAGAGAGAGAGAGAGAAAGAAGAGAGAAAAAAAAAGAGAGAACAAAGAGAAAGAAAAAGGAAAAGGAAGGAAGAGAGGAGAGAAGAUAACUGAACGAGGAUCAACAACAAAAUGCAUCGAGGACAUUUAAAGUCGAUCGACGUGACGUCGUGGGGGCGCGGUGAACGUGUCCAACUUCACCGCACGGUAAAAGCUUUUUCUCUUUCUCUACUGACAAAUAACACAGGACGUAAGAGAGAGAGAGAGAGAGAGAGAUAGAUAGAGAGAGAGAGGGAGAGACUUAGAGAGAAAAAGAGAAAGAGGGAUAUAACAAGAGAAUGUGUGUGUGUGUGUGUGUGUGUGAGAGAGAGAGAGAGAGAGAAAGAAUGUAAGCGAGCAAGAGAGAAAGAAAGAGAGGAGAUGCCAUAUAACACACAAGUACACAAUAACUUUCCCUUCCUCCAAUUGGUCGUUAAAACGGUUGCUCGAGCUACUUCGAGCAUAUUGAUCCUUUGUUACACGAACACCGGCACGUUCCCUCCAUCGAGAACUUUGACUCUCUUCUACUACUUUCACGUAUUAGCCGAGCGAGUUUACCGAGCGAAAGAAUCAUUCGUGUUACGGUCUCUCUGUUAGAGCGGGUUAGAGAGGUGGGGUACAGGAGAAGGAGGUGGAGGAGGUGGUGCUACUAGAGGUGGGUGUUACUCUGAAGGGAUCCGCAGCUUGAAAACGAUAUGCAUUUCGUCGAGCGAUCGUGAUCGGAUUACGUGAAUAGGGGUUAAAGCUCUUUUAUGUUUUUCUUUCUUCUUCUUCUUUUUUCUACUUUUUUUUUUCUUUUUUGUCACUUUUUUUCUCUCCCUUUUUUUCUCUCUCCUUUUUUUUUUUUUUUUUUUUUUUACUGUCCGUCCAUCGAACGAGACACGUCUAACUAUUUUACAACACAUAUGUAAUAUGUGUUAUGCGACAAAUCGCUAUAGAAUAUUAUCGCUUUUACGCAUAAGAUUAUCGUAAACUUUUAUUUUCAAUCGUUUUGAGAAAUCUGAAAAAAAAAAAGAAAUGUUCGGUAUCUCGAUUGAACCAUGCGAUCGAAUAAAUUAAUUUUCGAUUAUUUGUGAUUUUAUAUUUUUAAUAAUUUUUCAAAGUAGAUCUAAAGAUACAAGAUCUUAAUAAUAAUCUCUUUCUCUUUCUUUCUCUCUUUCUCUCUCUCUCUCUCUCUCUCUCUCUCUUUUAGUUUUAAUCAUAUCGUUGCUAUUGUUAAUUAAUUCGAAGUUCGAAUGUGAAUUUAGAUAUAUCAUUACCUAGGCUGUUGUAUUUACUUUGUUCCAUUUUUUUUCGCAAGUCUCUCUAGUUCUGUUUUUUUUUUUAGUGUAAUUAAGACAUCAAUUUUAUUUUUUUUUUUCUAGUAUUAAGAUUAAGUUCGAAAAUUACGGAUGUACGUUUUUAUUUUACAUUUUACUUUGUUUAUCGUUCGUUUCAAUCGUAUCGCUUUAAACUCGAUCGAAUUUAAUACGUAAAUUAUCAAUCAAUCAAUCAAUCAAUCAAUCAGUUUGGGAAAAGGUUAUUUCAUUUUUAUUAUAUUCACGAUGGAACGCGUCGAUGUCACGCGUUAUCUUAUUUGCGCUCGAACUUGUUACUACGAUAUAAAUUAAGUUUUUUUUUUGUUUUUUUUUUUGUUUAAAUAAUACUCGUGAGAAAAUAUCGACGAACAAAUGAAAGAAAGAAAUUAAAAUUGAAUUAUUUGAUUACGGCUGGUCCGUGAAAAAGAAUCGUUUCUUUUUCUUUUUCUUUUUCUUUUUCUUUUCAAUCCGAUAAUUUUCGACGUGUCUUCAAACAUUUAUCAAUGAAUUGAAAUUUUUAAGAAUUUCUAAAAUUAUUUCAACAAGUUCGAGCGUAAAUACGAUGAACGGUGCGCAUCAAUAUUAUAAAUGUUAAUUCAUGUAAAAAGAAAAAAAAAGAAAAAAAGAAAAAAAAUAAAAAAAAAAAGAAAAAAAAAAGAAAGAAAAGAAAAAAUAAAAGGAAAAAGAAGACGGAGUUUCCAUGAAACUCCAUGUAAAGUUAAUCGCAUUCUUACAGAUUAGAUCAGAUCGCUCGAAUGUUAUCGAUGUAAUUAAGUCGAUGAAUUAUAAUCGAUAGAUAGAUCAUUCGACGGAAAGGUAUCAUUGUUCGAAUUAAGAUAUACAUUUGUUUUGCUAUACGAAUUAUUGUUUACCGCGCGACAUCGCUUACAUACAUAACUUUGUCAACUAAUGAUCAAAGUGAUAUCGUUUAUUAAUUAUUAAUUAUGAUUUAUAAAGCUUAAGUUAAUUAGCGAGUGUACAAUUUCACGAAAUAUUAUUAAACGUGAAUACAUUGGAAGCAGGUUUAACAAGAUACGUUAACAAAAAUGUUUUCCUUUUAUUAAACGUUAAAAAUACUAUUAGUGAAUCUUAUUCAGUCCUUUUUUUUUUUCUUCUCUUUUUUCUUCCUUUAAAUUAUUCCUUCAUUUUAAUUUAUUUUAAUUGAUUUUAAUUUUCUUUUUCUUUUUCUCGUCUUUUUUUUCUUUUUCUUUUUUUUUUUAAGUUUUCCAUUAUAUUUUAAUUUAAGAACUUGUUAAACCUGACUACCGAGAAUAAAUACAUCGUUCUAUUAACUUGAGUUACAUUCCUCCCCCACCUGAUUCGAUAUUCUCUAUAAAACGAUGAUUUUUGUCCCAUUAGAAGAAUAUACGGAUCACGUGACAAGGAGAUGAUGAUAAUAUACAUGAAUUUACUUUACAGAGAAUAGUAUAUUUUGCGCUAGAUUAUAUUAUAUAUAUAUAUAUAUAUAUAGGAAGAAUUAUAAUUCGUUAUAAUUUAUGAAAGAGAAAAAAGAAGAAGGCACAUAUAAUUUAUGAAAGAGAGGAAAAAGGAAAAUGAAAGGAAAUAAAAAAAAAAAAAGAAGAGGAAAAGAAAAAGAAAAAGAAGAAAUAACAUAUAAUAAUGAUCAUCGCGCUGUGUCUUAUUUUUAUUAUCGUUAUAAAACAUACACACGAUCUGAAUGACUUGUUAAUGACAUUAUAAGUAUAAAUAAGUUGGAUAUUAUUAUAAAAACAACAAAAAAAGAAAAAAAGGGAAAUUAAGAUAAGAAAAGUAUCAUAGGUUCGUGCAGGCACACCAUGAUAAACUGCGAUGAACUUUUUAUGUAUCGAAGUAUCACAUUUCUUAUUGGAUUUAUUUGAUUUCAUUUUGCAAUAAAUACAACAAUUACACGUC
Molecule: long non-coding RNA, 4309 nt
Organism: Vespa crabro (European hornet)
Lineage: Eukaryota; Metazoa; Arthropoda; Insecta; Hymenoptera; Vespidae
Exons: 2
Source: RefSeq, a predicted model, not a curated record